Molecule: non-coding RNA, 636 nt
Organism: Chiloscyllium plagiosum (whitespotted bambooshark)
Lineage: Eukaryota; Metazoa; Chordata; Chondrichthyes; Orectolobiformes; Hemiscylliidae
Source: RefSeq, a predicted model, not a curated record
UCACCUGCAGGCAGAAUAACCGCUUCUGAUUGAAUGUGAGAGCCGUCAAUCCAACACAGACCGGGAACGGCUCGAGCAACAUGUAGAGACUUUCAGGCAAGUGAAUGAACGGUAAACGGCUCGUGUCAUUCUCUCUCAACAACAUUUGGUGAUCUUGACUGCUUCGCGUCUACUGUUAAAAAAGAAAUGGAAACUUUACUCGAUUCACAAAGAUUGGCCGAAGAAGUUGAAAGCACUCUAAUUAACUAUUACUGCAGUGGAGACAGUGAAUGGAGAGUUGGAAAGAAAACAAAAGACGUAAUUGUUUGGAGGAAACCUUCAGAAGAAUUUGGAGGAUAUUUGUAAGUAUUUUUAAAAGUAUUGUCAGGAAAAAUGUUAAAAAAUAUAAAAUGUAAAGAGAGAGCAAAAAGAGAUUUAGAAAAUAUAUUAAAUGAGUUUGGCAGGCCAAAUAAAGAGAAAUAGCAAGUAUGAGGGAGACUUUCAUUAACAUAGUACCUUUCACAAGUUUGGGAUUUCCCAAACUGCAUUGCAGCCAAUGAAAUACCUGUGAAAUAUGGUAACAAUUGUAAAUGUGAAUUAAUAAAUAAAAAGAUUCUUAUAAAGAGGUGGGAUCAUUUUGAGAUGAUAAAAGACAUC